Molecule: long non-coding RNA, 1054 nt
Organism: Hylaeus volcanicus
Lineage: Eukaryota; Metazoa; Arthropoda; Insecta; Hymenoptera; Colletidae
Exons: 3
Source: RefSeq, a predicted model, not a curated record
CUGACUGCGCCGAGAAAAAGGGGUUCUCGACCGUGGCGAACGCGUUGCCCAGUGUUCUUCAACUAAGCUGGCUUCGACGUUACCUGCCGCUUUUAUCUCGCUAUUCUUGAGCUGGUUAUAGAGUCCAGGUGUCCAAAAAGUAGAAAGUGACGUCAAUUCCGGGACAUUCCAAACUGGGAUAAACGUGGACAACGUCAAGUGGUUGUUCCACAUCAUGAAAAUCUGUAACAACGAAAAUGGACAAAAAAGUUGUAAGAAAAAAAGGAAGGAGUUUAUUCAGAAAGAACUGAUCCAGACCGAAACGUCGGGUGAACGGCCCGUGUAAUUCGGUUCCGUACGAUCGAGUUCACUUCGACCCCUGAAUGGGACGACACAGCGCCAAAUCUCUCGCAAAAUCUCGUUAGGAAGGAAAGGGCCAAGGGAAUUUAAUCCUGUUGAAUUUUAGAGACUUUUCGCGAGCUGGAGACACCUUUGAACUACGCUGAACAAGGCAUCUUCAGCGAGAGUGUGUACAUUUCCAGCGAAAGUGCCUAGAGGCAAUAGAAAACAAGAAUGGAAACUUAAGUUGGCGCAGUGGGGGACGCUUCGCUAAUCAUUCCAAGCUGACACUUGUUAAGAGAACUUCAUCAGGUAAACAGGAAGAGAUGAUCGCAAGUAAGUAAGGAGAAAAUAAAUGCAAUAUCAUCGACGAUCCAGAUUUGUUAAUCGAUUUAUUUAAAGCUGAUUUGCUGACACCGCAGGAACACAUCGCCAAUAUUUAUUGUAGGAAAUAAUGUUCCUUGAUGAGGAAGAUUUAAUAUUCGAUUACUUUACAAUAUUUAUUUAUAUUAUUAAUAUACAUAUUACAAUAUAUAGUUAGAUUAUUACAAAGCCGUUUAAUCUCUACUUUAAACCCUGUUCAAAAACACGUUCUCCAAUUAAUAAAAUAUAUAGAAUUAACAUCCCAAUCUUAAUAACACUAAACGUGGAUAUUCAGAACUAUUUACUAAUUUAUGCGAACAAGAGUCGAAUAAUCUACUACAUUAUUCUUGAUAAUAUUUCCAUCGUAAACUGU